Non-coding RNA from Anolis sagrei ordinatus, 230 nucleotides. The record is from RefSeq and is a predicted model, not a curated record. Lineage: Eukaryota; Metazoa; Chordata; Lepidosauria; Squamata; Anolidae.
UCAGGUGGUUUUUGGUGACCCCUCUGACACCCCCAGGUUGAGAAACUCUGUUCUAGAGGAACAGUUCAGACAUUGGAAAAGUUGCAGAUGGACCAUGGAAUGCUAAUCUAACCUAACAAUUUUACAAAGCUUUGGUCGGAGAACUGGAUGAGCCUCAUGUUAAGAACUAUCAUGAAAGCCUGAACUGUACUACUGGUAAUAAAAGCAAUGGCUGAGUGGCUGGAAACGUA